CUGGAGGUGAUGCAGAUGUACGGACUGAAUCCUAAUGAUAUCCUUCGUAUUCAUACUGUCUGAUCCAG
Molecule: small nucleolar RNA, 68 nt
Organism: Spea bombifrons (plains spadefoot toad)
Lineage: Eukaryota; Metazoa; Chordata; Amphibia; Anura; Pelobatidae
Source: RefSeq, a predicted model, not a curated record